Molecule: ribosomal RNA, 600 nt
Filed under: uncultured bacterium
Lineage: Bacteria
Description: bacterial SSU rRNA
Rfam family: Bacterial small subunit ribosomal RNA
Source: RNAcentral
CGGCGUACGGGUGCGGAACACGUGUGCAACUUGCCUUUAUCUGGGGGAUAGCCUUUCGAAAGGAAGAUUAAUACCCCAUAAUAUGUUGAAUGGCAUCAUUCGACAUUGAAAACUCCGGUGGAUAGAGAUGGGCACGCGCAAGAUUAGAUAGUUGGUGAGGUAACGGCUCACCAAGUCUACGAUCUUUAGGGGGCCUGAGAGGGUGAUCCCCCAACUGGUACUGAGACACGGACCAGACUCCUACGGGAGGCAGCAGUGAGGAAUAUUGGACAAUGGGUGAGAGCCUGAUCCAGCCAUCCCGCGUGAAGGACGACUGCCCUAUGGGUUGUAAACUUCUUUUGUAUAGGGAUAAACCUACCCUCGUGAGGGUAGCUGAAGGUACUAUACGAAUAAGCACCGGCUAACUCCGUGCCAGCAGCCGCGGUAAUACGGAGGGUGCAAGCGUUAUCCGGAUUUAUUGGGUUUAAAGGGUCCGUAGGCGGAUCUGUAAGUCAGUGGUGAAAUCUCACAGCUUAACUGUGAAACUGCCAUUGAUACUGCAGGUCUUGAGUGUGUUGAAGUAGCUGGAAUAAGUAGUGUAGCGGUGAAAUGCAUAGAUAU